This is a non-coding RNA of Heterocephalus glaber (naked mole-rat), 721 nucleotides long. NCBI's taxonomy places the organism in Eukaryota, Metazoa, Chordata, Mammalia, Rodentia, Bathyergidae. The record is from RefSeq and is a predicted model, not a curated record.
UGGUAACUUUCCUAAAUUACACAACCAAGGGUCAGGUACCUUACAACUAAGAUCUCAUGAAGUCUCAUCCAGUUGUCAUCCCAGAAUAAUCUUUUUUUUUCUAAUUUGCAGUAUCUCUUUAAAAUUAGCUCCCUUCAAAAUAUAUGUUCAAAUUCUCAUACUGAAGGAAGUUGAGGAAUAAAAAUACAUUUUGGAAAUAUAAAAACAGUGAAACCAAUGAGACCAAAUCAUUCCAUUUCUUCCCUACACUUCAUAAAAUUCAUCCAGUCAACCUACAGAAAGAAAAGUAAAAAUAAACUAGGAAAAAAAGUAAAACUGAAACAAAAACCUAAACCUCAACUGUGAAGAAAUGAAUUUUCACUAAAGGCCUACAGAUUCAAUACCUGUUCUAAGGACUAAAAAUAUAGCAGUGAAGAAAGCAAAACCACUGUUUUGGUGAAAGCUACAGUCUAAUAAAGGAGUCAGAUAUUAAAGAAAUAGCAUACAUUCAGAUAACAAUUGAUGAAGUGAAGUGUGGAUGGGCCUCUUCCAAUCCAUUGAAGGCAAAGACUAAGGUUUCUCAAAGAAAACAGAAUGUUGCCUCUAGAGUGCCACAUUAACAUACUGUUGGAGUUAUGAGGCUUUGGACUUAAGGCUGCAACAUUAACUAUCAUCUGAAUCUGGAUCCUGCUCUCUUGCUCUGUGGAUUUCAGGCAUGUGUGCAUAUAAAAUGCAUGUGUAG